AGCGUACACGGUGGAUGCCCUGGCAGUCAGAGGCGAUGAAGGACGUGCUAAUCUGCGAUAAGCGUCGGUAAGGUGAUAUGAACCGUUAUAACCGGCGAUUUCCGAAUGGGGAAACCCAGUGUGUUUCGACACACUAUCAUUAACUGAAUCCAUAGGUUAAUGAGGCGAACCGGGGGAACUGAAACAUCUAAGUACCCCGAGGAAAAGAAAUCAACCGAGAUUCCCCCAGUAGCGGCGAGCGAACGGGGAGCAGCCCAGAGCCUGAAUCAGUGUGUGUGUUAGUGGAAGCGUCUGGAAAGGCGCGCGAUACAGGGUGACAGCCCCGUACACAAAAAUGCACAUGCUGUGAGCUCGAUGAGUAGGGCGGGACACGUGGUAUCCUGUCUGAAUAUGGGGGGACCAUCCUCCAAGGCUAAAUACUCCUGACUGACCGAUAGUGAACCAGUACCGUGAGGGAAAGGCGAAAAGAACCCCGGCGAGGGGAGUGAAAAAGAACCUGAAACCGUGUACGUACAAGCAGUGGGAGCACGCUUAGGCGUGUGACUGCGUACCUUUUGUAUAAUGGGUCAGCGACUUAUAUUCUGUAGCAAGGUUAACCGAAUAGGGGAGCCGAAGGGAAACCGAGUCUUAACUGGGCGUUAAGUUGCAGGGUAUAGACCCGAAACCCGGUGAUCUAGCCAUGGGCAGGUUGAAGGUUGGGUAACACUAACUGGAGGACCGAACCGACUAAUGUUGAAAAAUUAGCGGAUGACUUGUGGCUGGGGGUGAAAGGCCAAUCAAACCGGGAGAUAGCUGGUUCUCCCCGAAAGCUAUUUAGGUAGCGCCUCGUGAAUUCAUCUCCGGGGGUAGAGCACUGUUUCGGCAAGGGGGUCAUCCCGACUUACCAACCCGAUGCAAACUGCGAAUACCGGAGAAUGUUAUCACGGGAGACACACGGCGGGUGCUAACGUCCGUCGUGAAGAGGGAAACAACCCAGACCGCCAGCUAAGGUCCCAAAGUCAUGGUUAAGUGGGAAACGAUGUGGGAAGGCCCAGACAGCCAGGAUGUUGGCUUAGAAGCAGCCAUCAUUUAAAGAAAGCGUAAUAGCUCACUGGUCGAGUCGGCCUGCGCGGAAGAUGUAACGGGGCUAAACCAUGCACCGAAGCUGCGGCAGCGACGCUUAUGCGUUGUUGGGUAGGGGAGCGUUCUGUAAGCCUGUGAAGGUGUGCUGUGAGGCAUGCUGGAGGUAUCAGAAGUGCGAAUGCUGACAUAAGUAACGAUAAAGCGGGUGAAAAGCCCGCUCGCCGGAAGACCAAGGGUUCCUGUCCAACGUUAAUCGGGGCAGGGUGAGUCGACCCCUAAGGCGAGGCCGAAAGGCGUAGUCGAUGGGAAACAGGUUAAUAUUCCUGUACUUGGUGUUACUGCGAAGGGGGGACGGAGAAGGCUAUGUUGGCCGGGCGACGGUUGUCCCGGUUUAAGCGUGUAGGCUGGUUUUCCAGGCAAAUCCGGAAAAUCAAGGCUGAGGCGUGAUGACGAGGCACUACGGUGCUGAAGCAACAAAUGCCCUGCUUCCAGGAAAAGCCUCUAAGCAUCAGGUAACAUCAAAUCGUACCCCAAACCGACACAGGUGGUCAGGUAGAGAAUACCAAGGCGCUUGAGAGAACUCGGGUGAAGGAACUAGGCAAAAUGGUGCCGUAACUUCGGGAGAAGGCACGCUGAUAUGUAGGUGAAGUCCCUUGCGGAUGGAGCUGAAAUCAGUCGAAGAUACCAGCUGGCUGCAACUGUUUAUUAAAAACACAGCACUGUGCAAACACGAAAGUGGACGUAUACGGUGUGACGCCUGCCCGGUGCCGGAAGGUUAAUUGAUGGGGUUAGCGCAAGCGAAGCUCUUGAUCGAAGCCCCGGUAAACGGCGGCCGUAACUAUAACGGUCCUAAGGUAGCGAAAUUCCUUGUCGGGUAAGUUCCGACCUGCACGAAUGGCGUAAUGAUGGCCAGGCUGUCUCCACCCGAGACUCAGUGAAAUUGAACUCGCUGUGAAGAUGCAGUGUACCCGCGGCAAGACGGAAAGACCCCGUGAACCUUUACUAUAGCUUGACACUGAACAUUGAGCCUUGAUGUGUAGGAUAGGUGGGAGGCUUAGAAGUGUGGACGCCAGUCUGCAUGGAGCCGACCUUGAAAUACCACCCUUUAAUGUUUGAUGUUCUAACGUUGACCCGUAAUCCGGGUUGCGGACAGUGUCUGGUGGGUAGUUUGACUGGGGCGGUCUCCUCCUAAAGAGUAACGGAGGAGCACGAAGGUUGGCUAAUCCUGGUCGGACAUCAGGAGGUUAGUGCAAUGGCAUAAGCCAGCUUGACUGCGAGCGUGACGGCGCGAGCAGGUGCGAAAGCAGGUCAUAGUGAUCCGGUGGUUCUGAAUGGAAGGGCCAUCGCUCAACGGAUAAAAGGUACUCCGGGGAUAACAGGCUGAUACCGCCCAAGAGUUCAUAUCGACGGCGGUGUUUGGCACCUCGAUGUCGGCUCAUCACAUCCUGGGGCUGAAGUAGGUCCCAAGGGUAUGGCUGUUCGCCAUUUAAAGUGGUACGCGAGCUGGGUUUAGAACGUCGUGAGACAGUUCGGUCCCUAUCUGCCGUGGGCGCUGGAGAACUGAGGGGGGCUGCUCCUAGUACGAGAGGACCGGAGUGGACGCAUCACUGGUGUUCGGGUUGUCAUGCCAAUGGCACUGCCCGGUAGCUAAAUGCGGAAGAGAUAAGUGCUGAAAGCAUCUAAGCACGAAACUUGCCCCGAGAUGAGUUCU
This 2773-nucleotide ribosomal RNA is filed under the name Escherichia coli. RNAcentral's name for it is "bacterial LSU rRNA". It matches the Rfam family "Bacterial large subunit ribosomal RNA". Lineage: Bacteria; Pseudomonadati; Pseudomonadota; Gammaproteobacteria; Enterobacterales; Enterobacteriaceae. The record is from RNAcentral.